RNAcentral lists this ribosomal RNA (492 nucleotides) under uncultured bacterium. Its description in RNAcentral is "partial 16S ribosomal RNA". It matches the Rfam family "Bacterial small subunit ribosomal RNA", at positions 29 to 507 of the family's 1533-position model. The record is from RNAcentral.
AGUGAACGCUGGCGGUAGGCCUAACACAUGCAAGUCGAACGGCAGCACAGUAAGAGCUUGCUCUUACGGGUGGCGAGUGGCGGACGGGUGAGGAAUACAUCGGAAUCUACUUUUUCGUGGGGGAUAACGUAGGGAAACUUACGCUAAUACCGCAUACGACCUACGGGUGAAAGCAGGGGAUCUUCGGACCUUGCGCGAUUGAAUGAGCCGAUGUCGGAUUAGCUAGUUGGCGGGGUAAAGGCCCACCAAGGCGACGAUCCGUAGCUGGUCUGAGAGGAUGAUCAGCGACACUGGAACAGAGACACGGUCCAGACUCCUACGGGAGGCAGCAGUAGGGAAUAUUGGACAAUGGGCGCAAGCCUGAUCCAGCCAUACCGCGUGGGUGAAGAAGGCCUUCGGGUUGUAAAGCCCUUUUGUUGGGAAAGAAAAGCAGCAGGUUAAUACCCCGCUGUUCUGACGGUACCCAAAGAAUAAGCACCGGCUAACUUCGUG